This is a long non-coding RNA of Dendroctonus ponderosae (mountain pine beetle), 388 nucleotides long. RefSeq lists it as uncharacterized. NCBI's taxonomy places the organism in Eukaryota, Metazoa, Arthropoda, Insecta, Coleoptera, Curculionidae. The record is from RefSeq and is a predicted model, not a curated record. The transcript is spliced from 2 exons.
GUUAAAUCGAAAAUUAAUUUUAGCAUUAAAUAUAAGUUGACAAUGUCACAAUAUCGGUUGUCAUUGUUUAAAGCCAAGCGAAGAAACCAGUUGAGCACAAUUAUGUAUUCUCAGGACUGGGGGAGAAGAUAGUGAUAUCUAAGGCUAAAUAUCAAUUAUGGUUUAUUAUCGGAUAAACUGCAAACAUUUCGACACGCAGAUAAUGACCGUCUAGAGCUGGAAGCAGAUUAUAAUAAACUCGUAUGAGAAAAAUUACUAUUUCGAAAAUUUUAUGAUUUUAUUUUCUUAGGGAUGGCGGCGGGUAAAAUCGUGCUUGCAACCGUUAACGUAUCUUUUGCUAUUUAUGUGCAGUAGAAUCUGGUCAGAAUAAAGACAACUCAAAUUGAAA